Molecule: ribosomal RNA, 265 nt
Filed under: uncultured prokaryote
Description: partial 16S ribosomal RNA
Rfam family: Bacterial small subunit ribosomal RNA
Source: RNAcentral
UACGGAGGAUCCGAGCGUUAUCCGGAUUUAUUGGGUUUAAAGGGUGCGCAGGCGGGGGAUUAAGUCGGCGGUGAAAUUUUGCAGCUCAACUGUAAAAGUGCCUUCGAAACUGGUUUCCUUGAGUGUAGAUGAAGUAGGCGGAAUUUGUGGUGUAGCGGUGAAAUGCUUAGAGAUCACACAGAAUAUCGAUUGCGAAGGCAGCUCACAAAGCCAAGAUUGACGCUGAGGCACGAAAGUGUGGGGAUCAAACAGGAUUAGAUACCCU